CGGAGGGUCCAAGCGUUGUCCGGAAUCACUGGGUGUAAAGGGUGCGCAGGCGGGCCUGUAAGUCAGAGGUGAAAGCCACCGGCCUAACCGGUGAACUGCCUUUGAUACUGCAGGUCUUGAGUCCCGGAGAGGCUAUCGGAAUUCGUAGUGUAGCGGUGAAAUGCGUAAAUAUCACGAGGAACACCGGAUGCGUAAGCGGAUAGCUGGACGGUACUGACGCUCAGGCACGAAAGCGCGGGGAGCGAACAGGAUU
This 253-nucleotide ribosomal RNA is filed under the name uncultured bacterium. RNAcentral describes it as "partial 16S ribosomal RNA". It matches the Rfam family "Bacterial small subunit ribosomal RNA", at positions 526 to 779 of the family's 1533-position model. The record is from RNAcentral.